RNAcentral lists this long non-coding RNA (267 nucleotides) under Lathyrus oleraceus (garden pea). RNAcentral's name for it is "Pisum sativum (pea) long non-coding RNA (PSAT_LNC031110)". The record is from RNAcentral. Lineage: Eukaryota; Viridiplantae; Streptophyta; Magnoliopsida; Fabales; Fabaceae.
UAUUGAUAUAAAUUCACCCUUGAGAAGAACCAAGAAGCAAAUUUUAAAUGAGCAAAAUCCUGAAAUCCUUUAUCAUGUCAAGCCACCUUUUAUCAUGGGCUGAGCUCACGAACCUUAAAACCUUGGUUUUACCUCAGGCUAACCAAUAAUAUGAGAGUUUUAACACAAGGUUAAGCUUUAACCUAACCUUGGUUUUACCACAGGCUGACCAAGAACCAAUUGAAAGCUUUUAUCAUGGGCUAAGCCUUCGAACUUAAAUAAAGGUUU